RNAcentral lists this ribosomal RNA (448 nucleotides) under Facetotecta sp. RNAcentral's name for it is "partial large subunit ribosomal RNA". The record is from RNAcentral. Lineage: Eukaryota; Metazoa; Arthropoda; Thecostraca.
UCUCCGGUCUGAACUCAAAUCGUGUAAACUUUAAAAGUCGAACAGACUAAAUUUUUCUAAACUGCUGCAUCUACACAAAAAAAUAACAAAUAAGUAUUAAUAAUUGAUUGAUCCUUCAAAAAGAUUAUUAAAACAAUUACGCUGUUAUCCCCAGAGUAACUUGUUUUAUUAAUCUUUUUGAAGGAUCAAUCAAUUAUUAAUACUUAUUUGUAAUUUUUUUGUGAUGAAGUUUAAAAAUUCAUUAGCCGCCCCAGCUUAAUUUUUUCUAUUUUAACAAUAAAAUAAAAGAAAUAAAAGAUUCAAGGGGUCUUCUCGUCCUUUUAUAUUAAUUUCUUCUUUUUCAAAGAAAAAUUAAUUUUAUUUUUAUAAAAUUGAGACAAUAUUAAGUUCAUUCACCCAUUCAUACUAUUUUACAAUUAAUAAACUAAUUAUUAUGCUACCUUUGCAA